AGCUGGUUAAAGGUUAAUAUGCCACCUGAUUAAUGCAGUUCUUUGUCUUAAAUAAACUUUGAAACUCCUUCCAAUUAAAUAAUUAUUAAUUCCUAACUAAGUACUCUGUACACAAACUGUUAAGUAGUUAACUAUAAAAUGUAUGACUGAUAGAUGAUAAUAUGGAUUGAAAUUAAAAUCACAUCAGACCUUAUAACCUUUACAGCAUAUGU
Molecule: non-coding RNA, 212 nt
Organism: Cinara cedri
Lineage: Eukaryota; Metazoa; Arthropoda; Insecta; Hemiptera; Aphididae
Source: the annotation of a GenBank genome assembly